RNAcentral lists this long non-coding RNA (233 nucleotides) under Lathyrus oleraceus (garden pea). RNAcentral's name for it is "Pisum sativum (pea) long non-coding RNA (PSAT_LNC014051)". Lineage: Eukaryota; Viridiplantae; Streptophyta; Magnoliopsida; Fabales; Fabaceae. The record is from RNAcentral.
UGAGCCCACCAAGACACAAAAAAUCAGCUAUAAAUUCCAGAAAAUCAUUGGAAAAAAAAAGAAAAGACAAGGGGAGAUCAGAAAAACAACGGAGAAAACCCUAGAAGCUAAUUCAGAGAACUCAUAUGCACAAAGGUUACCUCCACCAACCCUAUCAGGCAUAAACCCUAAGAUUGCCCUGCAAACCCAACGGUGCAAAUCCAAUUUCAGCCAAUCCCUCCAAUCAGGUUUGC